Molecule: transfer RNA, 74 nt
Filed under: Bacteroidota bacterium
Lineage: Bacteria; Pseudomonadati; Bacteroidota
Description: tRNA-His
Rfam family: tRNA
About the family: Transfer RNA (tRNA) molecules are approximately 80 nucleotides in length. Their secondary structure includes four short double-helical elements and three loops (D, anti-codon, and T loops).
Source: RNAcentral
GUGGUUGUAGCUCAGUUUGUUAGAGCACUAGAUUGUGGUUAUAGGGGUCGUGGGGUCGAACCCCAUCAACCACC